GGCCCAUUGGUCAAGUGGUCAAGAUGCCGCAUUCUCAGUGCGGAGACAGGGGUUCGACUCCCCUAUGGGCUG
Molecule: transfer RNA, 72 nt
Filed under: Mobilisporobacter senegalensis
Lineage: Bacteria; Bacillati; Bacillota; Clostridia; Lachnospirales; Lachnospiraceae
Rfam family: tRNA
About the family: Transfer RNA (tRNA) molecules are approximately 80 nucleotides in length. Their secondary structure includes four short double-helical elements and three loops (D, anti-codon, and T loops).
Source: Rfam by way of RNAcentral